UAGAGUCGGGAUCGUGAGGCAGAACACGGGAAUUCAGUUUGACGACGAGACGACGAGACAGCGAAUACAAUUCAAUUCAGUUCGGAGUUUAAUACAAGCGAAUAUUUCAUGCGCCAUAGUGUCUUAUAGUUUAGUUGUGGCGACACGAGAUUUAAUUUACGUUUACUGCGCAACAAUUAGAGACUGGAAAUAUUACUCUGUCAAAUGGAUAUCAGAAAAUUAUUUGAAAUAGGGACAACACGCAAAAAAAGAAAAAAAAAGCGAUGAAAAUGACAACCAUGAUAAAACUACUCAUGUAAUGCCAAGAUCAUGCUAACAUUGGACAAGCGUCACAUUCUCCAGCAGAACCUCUAAAUAUAAUCUUCACCUAAUAGCAACAAAUCCUACAAAAAAUUUUCUUAAAAAUGUUCCUGUAGACAUCCAACUGCAAAGUGGACACCAAAAAGCAAUCGAUGACAACAACAAAUAUUGUCAUCAAUUAUUUCUUGUAUGGUAUUUUGCGGUACACAUGAUAUGCCUCUUAGGGGAAAACAAACAGAUGAGGGUGUUUUAUUAGAUUUAUUGAAGUUGAGAAUCAAUUCAGGGGACGACAAAUUAAAGAGUCACCUGGAAAAGUGCCGUUGCAAUGCAGCUCGCUGCUUAAAAUUAUACUAAAUAUGUUCACAAUAACAUAAUCUUACACGUGGAGCAGAAAUCGCAGGAUUAACGUGUUGCACUUAUUCCCUACCUUGCGCUGUAUACUAUUUUCCUCGCUCAUAUGUUAUACUUAUUGCUUAUUCGAAAAAACAUCAAAAUAAAUCAUUUGGCUUAAUUCA
Molecule: long non-coding RNA, 815 nt
Organism: Anthonomus grandis grandis
Lineage: Eukaryota; Metazoa; Arthropoda; Insecta; Coleoptera; Curculionidae
Exons: 2
Source: RefSeq, a predicted model, not a curated record